UAUUUUUUAAAAGUAGGACAACAAUCAGAAAGUUACUAAAAUGAUUUGCAUUAGCAUGUUUGAGGACAUUGUUAUUGCAAUUCUCAUAAUGCAACAAACUUUAGAAUCAAAUCAUGGUUAGUGAUUGUUCAAUAUUUUCAACCAUGAGGAGCUUGAUCAUAACUUACCUUAAUGGGGACUUAAUUUUGAUAUGAAAAAUUUAUUCAAUGACCAAAUCAUUACCAUGUUCUCAAUAUAUCGAAUAUUGUAAUGUUGUUGAUAAUUGAUCAGCGGUAAUAUUCUUAUUGAACCGCUUAAACUAUCAGCGUUGGGAACCUAAGCUUGUACCUAUAUGUUAAUAGAUUUGCCUUCACCAACUAAUUGAGAAGCUCUCACAGGAGACAAUCUUCAAAGUUAAAAGUAUUUAGUCCAAUUUUAUGUGUCACCAAAACGGUGUUUUGAAUGACUACAUAUUACUCAAUUGUUAGACCUGUCUUGUCAGAUCUGUGAUUUACCAUAAGAGAAGUGUGUUUGAAUCUAUUAUUAAAUGGCCUUAGCCAUCUGAUGCCUUUAUUUUACAAUGUUGGGAAAUCAUCAAAGACUUCAUCUUCCCAUGUAAUGCUUGUGAAGAAGAAUUGGUGAGACCUAUAUAAUAUUUUAAUUUCAUUUUUAAAGUGUCAUAUCUUUCUUUCUUUGAUUUCUUAUUUAGAUAUUUCUUUCUUUCGUUCGUUCUUUCUUCGCCUUCCUCUUUUACUUCUGAGAUUUAGGAGUUUAAUAGGUGCCCUGUGACGUAUCUUUUUUCUAUUGUGCUUUCUUACAUAUACAAUUUAGUAGACAGGUACGACCACAUGUAAGUGUCCCGUUACUUUUUGAUAGUAAUAGUUAGAACUCUUUUUAUACAUAGUACUGCUCUUUAAUUUUGUGCUAUUUCCUCUUGAUGUUCUUUAAGUUUUCUAUCUUUUUUACCUUUUACUCUGAAUGAAAUUAUUGACUGAAAUUUUGUACUUACUCAUAUCAAAUCAUGACCAGGGCAAAACUGUUCAUGCUCAUUUCACAGGAUAAAACAAACCAGAAGACUUAUCUCCACAGGACCUGAUUAGAGAGCUGUACUCUCCAAAAGUGGCUGCUCAAAUUUUAGCUAUCCCUAUCUCAAGCUGUUGAGUUACUGAUAAGCUGCUAUGGCCUCGUACAACACAACAUAGCAUGCACAAGCCUAUGAUGCACAACAUGUUGAUUAGAGUAACUACUGGAGUGUACCAGGGCGAGUGUGUCCAGUCGUGGAAGGAUGGCAAGUGUUGCUGACAGUUGAGGGGCACUGGCAGAGCAGGUGCAAAUGGGUUUGUUUUGCCCAUGUAGCUAAAUCAUGUGCUGGCAGAUAAUUUUUUGGCUGUUCCAGUAAUGCCAUAUGCAACGAGUGGAAGCUUAAUGUUUGAGAAGCAUUUU
Molecule: long non-coding RNA, 1422 nt
Organism: Quercus robur (English oak)
Lineage: Eukaryota; Viridiplantae; Streptophyta; Magnoliopsida; Fagales; Fagaceae
Exons: 3
Source: RefSeq, a predicted model, not a curated record